GUCUUGGCUGAACGGUGUAAAAAAAAUCUAACAGCAAAGUGACAAUAUUUUUUUCCUUAUUUUUCUCGAAAAGGGGAGGAGUCCCCGAGUGACAAUCAAACUUGAAAUGAUAUAACCAAGUUUAACAUAAUUUGAUAGAACUUAUCAUUAUUUUAUCAAGGGCAAUUAUUGGUCGUUCUUUGCGGCAAACAGGGGCGCUGCCGGAUAAAUCAUGUUUAGAUAGUUUGAUGUUAUAGCUCCUGCAGUAUUCUUUUCUCUUUUUUUUUGCUUUUCUUCUUAGUUCUUUUCCUUUUUUAUAUUUUAAAUACAUUUUCCACUUUCUCACAAGGACGGACAUGAUUCUUUUUAUGAUAUACUUGGAUAUUAUUUUUUCUGAAGAACAUAUACAUUUUUCUCGCGGUUGAACAAAAAUGCUCAUUUAUAUUUCACAAGUUAAAAAAAUGGAAAAUAAAAUAAAUAAAUCACGACAGGCCUUAUUGGACCAGCCCGCCGUGUGCAAUUGUAUUCCUACUUGCCGCCGGAUGCCGCAAAUUGAGAGACACGGAGUUUGGGCCUGGGUAUCUCUGCGGCUGUUAUCCUGGCAGUGGCCAGCGAGCAAGGCCACAAAGUCGGGGCAGGUGGGCCGGGCGAGGUUGUGUAAAGAAAUCAAUAUAAAUGCGGAAAACAUGGACGUCUUAUGGCCCAGUAUAUGGUAGAAGCUUGGUUGUUUGAUGGACCGGUUUAGGUGAUGUUAGGUGGGCCAUAUGAGCUCAUCGAUUUUGGCUCAUGUCGGGUAGAGUUGCUGGGCCAGUUAGGAUUGACAUGUGCCAUUUCUUUUGAAUUGGCCCAAGUUCUGGGUAGUUGAGGUAGAAAUAAAAAUUAAAUGGCCCAUGUGACCGAUCUAAAUUCUGUUGGCCAAACUGGCGACGGUGCCCCCCUAAAAAAAAAAAACUGGCGACAUGCCAGAUUCACCGGAGAUGAGCACAAGUAUCCUGAACUGUCGUCGAAGUAUGAAAUGUAUCUAGACGUUUUUAGAAAAUAGAUACAUCUAUAUUUAGACAAAAUUGAGACAAGAAUUUAAUAUUGGAAGGAGUACGUGUUCUUCAUCGCUGCGGGCGGGAAUCCGAUUGGCUCUCUUGGCAUGGACUGAUGCCAAUGACUCACAUUUGAUUGGCAGGGUUCGUGUUGAGAAUGCUCUUCAUGAGAGGGAAGCUAAUGCAAACAAGCCUUGCGCCCUGGAAUUAUCGAUUGGUUCACGUGUGAAACUCGAUCGUGUCAUGGAGGGAUGCGUAGGUGGUGGUCACUAUGUAUAUCCUGUUAGCUAAGCAUCGGGUGGUUACGUGCUAAAUGAAUAUAUAGGUUACACGGGCAAUUAGGCCACGUCCAACAUGCCGUUUCACAUGGGCGCUAGGGAAACAAUUCCCGGCCGUCAGGUUCAAAUCCCAGCUGAUUCCAGGAAUUCUCUUUUGGAACAAAGGAUUCCUACAGGAUUUCUACAAAGAAAGGAAUUUCACAGGAAAAAAUAAAUCAUUUGGACCGUUUGAAAGUUGGGACAAAGGAAAGGAAAGUUUCCAUUCCUGUAAAACACUGUAGCAACACCAUGAUUUCACCUGAAAGAAAACAUCCAUCCAGAUCUCAUUUUUUUGCAUACACGAAGCUCUCUGCUGCUACUUCCUAUGAAACUGAUGGUAUGGGAAACAAAAUCGUGGAUGCGGCGGUGUGCCCAACCGAUGAUGGAUGGCUGUGCUCGUGGUUACAUAACUAAUCAAUGCGACCAUAUCCUGAUUAUAAUUUUGGUUCAUGCGUUCCAAAUGAUUUUUCUAUUCAAAUCCUAUGUUUUCAAUUCUCAUGGAAUUUCAUGCAUGUCAUGUGAAUUUCUAUAUUUUUUUUAUUUCUAUGUUUUUGGUAUCCCGCCUUCCAAACGGGUCCUUAGUGUCGCCUAAAAGAAUUUGCAUCAGGCGUUCCACCAUUUUUUCCGUUGAGAACAACCCAAGCCUUUCUCAAGCGUCUCAAAUAAGCGCUCUGCAUUGAAGAGCUCGACGCUUAUCUUUUUCUUUAAAAUAAUUUAUUUAUUUUCUGCUGCUCAAGCACCUAUGGAAGAGUCCAGCUUUGGACAUGCCCUUAACAUCCAUGGCACUUUUUUUUUUGUUCGGGGAAACAUCCAUGGCAGUUAACUAUAUUCUCAAAUUUUUGCUGGAUUUUACCUCUAAAUCUAACGUAUCAUCAAUAAUCAAAAUCGCUCUGGACGGCAACCAAAUACUACUCGCAUAACGCAUGUUCGCGUUGUUUUGCCACGUGGAUUAACCGGAGGAAGCUUCCAAAGGGGGAAGAAAAAUGAAAAAAAGAAGAAUUCAAAAAGGGAAAGAGGGGAAAUUGCAGAUCGCUAUGGCAACCCGGGGGCCGCCGCCGUCGUCGUCAUCAUCCGGAUCCGCGACCGUGACGAUCGACCGCUCCACCUCCUCCUCCUCCGCCCCCGCGGCCGCGCAGCCGCCGCCGCCGGAGACGGUGCUGCUGCGGCUGAAGCGGCGGGCCAAGAAGAAGGUGUCGUGGAAGGAGGGUACCGUGGACAACGAGUCCCUUGGCCGCAAGAGCUCCAAGAAGUGCUGCAUCUUCCACAAGGAGGUUCCCUUCGACGAGGACUGCAGCGACGACGACGACGACGACGCGGACCGGAAUCCGCCGGCCGACGGCGGGGGCGGCUGUUCCUCUUCCUCCCAUGGCCAUGGCCACAGCCAUAGAGACCACCACCACUCAGAUCCGGUUCGAUAAGGUACGGGUCAGAGAUCCUUGCUUGCUCGUCAGUUUCUUGUUCUGGAUUGUAGAAAUUUCAGUUUUGUUUGGUUUACCAUUACAAUUUAGGGGCGAUACUUCGUAGCUGCGUAUAGAAUUCUUUAGGGGGAUAGUGUUAGCCUUUGUUUAUCAGCACUGUAUCUUGUGUCUGUACAUUCCAUAUUUCCAUUUAUAUGUUUCCUAAGGAUCGUUUCUUGUAAAUCUGAACCUGAAUAUUACUGUCUGAGCAAUACUCCUAUGUAAAACUAUGCUAGAACUUGGAUGCUACAAGAAGGGCAGUAUCUGAGAAUUUAGAGGUCCUGUGUGAAAUAUCAUACUCCGUAUCAAUUUAUAGACUAAAAAGCACAUGAAAUUUGAAAAAUUAUAAAGAGAUUGCCAAAUUUUGUGGGUGCAACUUCACCCACACCCUAUAACGUGAAUCCCCCACUCGUUACAAGGGAGAGGACUCUCUGCCAAGUCCUUCUUUCUCCAUGUCCACCGCAGCGCCACGAUCGGCACUGUGUUCGGGUUGACAUGAAGCCGUGACGGCCACUGCUAUGGGAUUCUGCGAGCUCUUCAGCUCCCUCCACUUCCUCCUGCUGCUGAGCCCCAUGUCAAACGAGCUCUUCACCUCCCUCCACUUCCUCGAUCUUAAACUGAUGGUGCCGAGCAAAGUCCCGCUGGAAGCUCGCCAAGGUGCAGGGCGCGUGAGUCCAGAGGUGGCUUGAGUAGAUUGAAACAGAUAGAUGGCUGACAUGAAGUAAAGCCAAUGAUAAAAAAUAGGGCAUGGCCAGGAAAACUCAAAUAGUAUCGAGAAUAAAUAGGCAGGCCAUUGAGAAUAACAAGGCGGAUUUUCCCCUGUUGACAGAGUGAGAAUCGGAGGAAGUCAGUUUCGUUGGAAGUUUGAAUUCUUAUGAUUGAUGUGUAAUAUAGAUAGAGGAAUAUCAGAAUCCAGGUUUCAGACGGCGGUCUUGAUUGAUGAACGGCCGCUUAAGUAGCUCCAUCUCAUCAUGCAUGUAUAUAUGGCCAUUAGCUCCUGACCUGCUGCAACAUAGGAGUGCAAUUACGAUGCAUGGCUGGGUAUCACGAUGCACAGCCACACAGGGAAAACUACGGUGGCGUCAGUUUGGACCUGGAGCCGGCCAUAGGCUAGCCAGGGACGGCGGUAACAUUGGAGGCAGAGGUGGGGGCAACAACGGCUGUGAGGGGCGCCUGACUGAGAUCGUUGGGGGUUUGGGAGGAAGCCGCAGGAGGUGUGUUAGUUUGGAAUCUGGAUAUGGGCUGGAUACCUGGGCCCUCUAAGUUUACUACUCUGCCCUUAAUGUAAGUAUUGACAGAUGCUUUGGUAUUCGUGCUAAAAAAGUUUAGGAGCAUAGAAGCACUUCCCUUGAAAGAGAUGUUCCUGGUCACACUCGAUCCUAACAAGCUCUUGAAAUGAUCCAACAGAAUUUGCGCUUUAGAUUGCUGAUCACAAAACUUCGACGCACUGCCCCUGCAACAUAGGAAUAUGGUUUGUUUUUGUCUCUGGCCGUUGGCCGUGAGGUGGAAUAGCUUUGUGUUGGCAUCCCCUUCUUUUAUCCAAGUGAUCCGGGACAUUUGCCUCCACCGAAUCCUGUCUGCCGCAGCCAAACCAAGCAAUUUGGUCUUCAUCAUUUUCCAAAGCUCCCUCUUUUCGGGGCUGAGUUCUCUAUCUUCUUGGGCCAGAUCUAAUUGGGAAAAGUUCCUUUUCUCUCACACAAUGCCAUAUUCACUGCAACAGUCAAUAUGUCAGUAAAAUUAUAUACAGUAAGUUUGCAUUAGUGAAAGAAUUCAUGUUUUCUAAUAUCUUUAUAGAAAAGAGGUAUUCUAGUAUUUCCAGAAGGCAUGGAAAAACACCAUGCCGAUGGAUAAUAAAUAGGUAAAUACAAAAUAAAAAAUGUGUUUAAAACUCAAGAAUACUGAAUAUGCAUGAGGAUAAAAUGAACAACUUAACAAAUUAACAUUUAACAACUUUAAACAUCAGAGAUUAGUGCUUAUUAAUAGUAAUUAGGAAAAUACGGGGGGCCAUAUUUUGGGGGCCCCUGUACCAUUGAUCACCCUGCGCCUGUUUGCGAUACAAUCCUGGUUGCAAGUUUCAACUUCCAAUGUCAUGUGGGGGUGUGCGAUCUUCCUCUAAUCUCCCAAUUUCCCGAGCACUUGACAGCCAACAUCUUCUCGCUGUGACUUCUAAUAUGAAAUGGUGUGCAGUUAGGUGUCUACAAGUUGCAACAGUUUUCUUCAGUGUAACUUUGUAAAUACAGGAAUCAACAUUAUGCAGAUGGGUAUAUAGCAUAUGACCUUUUGAAAUUCUACAUCACCUUAAUUUUUUUCUUAUGAUGGGAUCGCAGUAGAUCAUUUGUACGUAUGCUUACGGACACGAUAUUGCUAUUAGAUAACUUAACAGCAUACACACACGAAGGAAAAGAAGUUGAACCUUUCUUGCCUGAUUAAAUGAACUUGUGUACUCCUUAAGAAUUGGAAGCUCUUUUUGCCAUAAGUGUACAUUACUUGGACCAUUCUUGCCUGAUUAAGUGACACCUCUUGAAAUAAUGGUGAAAAUGAUCGUCUAGAAAAUUAAUUUUGAUUUUUUAAAUCUUGGUGCAUGAUCUAUUUGAAUAUACGUGAGUAGCUUUCAUGGACCUUUUAUCUGUGAACAAGGACAGUUUAUCUACUGGACCAGCAAGGUCAAAGAUAUCAUCAACAUAGAUGAAUGAAAUCUCUUUAGUGACCUCCGAUUUAUACUUGGAGAAUGCUAAGCCGUGUUCGAGGGCAGCAACGGCCCACAUAUACCAUUUACGAGCCUGGUCUCGAGCAAAUGGCAAUUCUUCUGCUAGUCCGAGGUCCCUCCAUAACCUGAAAUUUUAAUAUAUUUUCAAAUUUAUUCUUAUUAACUAAUUCUUUAUUCUUUAUUACACAUGUGUGAGAUGAUUGUGUGUGGUAUGCUGUACGUGUUAGUAGAUUAGAACCUAUAUUGUGUUUCUGUUCAUAGACAAGUCUGCUGUAUUCUUGCCUGACGGAAUAAUUUUGGUACCACCUUUUCUGUUUAGAAGUAUACUACUCCCUCUGUCCAACAAAAGAUGUCUCAAGUUUGUCAAAAUUUGGAUGUAUAGAUGCAUUCAAAUUUAGUCAGAGUUGAGACAUCCUUUGUUGGACGGAGGAAGUAGUUUUAGAUCUUUUCAUGUUUUUGGUGAAAAUAUUCAAUAUGUUUAUGUUCAUGUGUUCUUAAUGCUAUCCUGUUAUCUGAUUGCACUAUUUUUGUUAAUUGAUAUGUGGGUACAUAUUUUUUAUCUGAUUGCACUAUUUUUGUUAACAACUCUUUUGUUGAAACAAGAAGACCGUGACAUACAUGACUUAAGCAUGAUCGAAGAGGGAGUGUGGAUUAUUUUUGUUGCAUUUGCAAGAUAAAAAAAAGUAAUCUGUACAUGUAGAUUAUUAAACGAUAUGCACACAUGGAAGAUUUUGUGGAAAAAUAUGGCCCUCUGUGUUCUCUACAAAAAAAAAACAGGGAUGAAGGUCUAACAUAUAGUAGCUAUAAGGUUACACAGUUUUUUCUUCUGUACUUCACAUGGACAUAAUUUUUCAGAACAGUUGGCAAGCACACACAAUAUUGCAGUCUACAUUCACAGUUCUCUUUUUUAUGAAACUUUUUCUUUACUUUUGAGCAAAUGAACCCAGCAGUGAAAGGUUAUUUCCCAUAACCUCUAGUUUUGUUUGGUAUAAGAAACUGAGAAGCAAUCAUGCAAGACACGUCAUGGAUUAGGUUCAUGACAUGAGUGAUAAUAGCUCUAGGGCCUGUACGGGGUAACCCUGGAUCCAAGAGGUGCGGCAGCUCCAUGAAGGUAGCCGCACCUCAAGGGCAGGGAGGAAGUGGAAGGGAUAACUGACUGAUUUAUUCUUGACUGUCUCGUAACAGUUACAGGUGGCCCUUUUAUAGGGAAGACUCAACUUGACACCUAAGAAACUAAUCUCUACUUCCUAACAAACCAUAUCGAUCUCAAUAUUCCUGUCUAAUCUCUUGCCUUACUAAUUUAGAAGUUGCUAAUGGGAUAUCGUCCAUUAUUUGGAUACCUAGCGCUGCGCCCCCUAUAGGGAUGUAUGCCUGUGACAGAUAGGUUCUUUACAUUAUAUAUUGCAUUAGUUCAACUUGAUGCUGUAUUCUGAUAUGAUCAUACUUGUCUAGGACAAGCUCUUCCAUCAUGUCGUAGCAUCAUACCUCCCAAACAUCUUUUAGACACACCAGAGGUGGUGCAUCACUUUGUAUUUCUGUAAACUGAGAUGAUAUGGGUGGUUCAAGGCUUCUCUGACAGAAUUUACUAGACUCGGUUCCAAUUAUUUCAAAGAUGACUUUAGUUGCUUGCUUGAAUCAUAAGGUUUGUGGAGUAUCCCCUCUCCCAUGUUAAGACUUGAUGUGUUGUGCAUGCUCAGUAGUCCUUGAUAUCACUAUUAACACACAUGCUGAAUUCUCUAUUUGAAGUUUUUGUUGCUAUGUUUUUGUUCCGCUAUGGUUUGAAGUGAAGGAAUAUUAACCGCUAGCUUCUUUCAUGGUUUUCUGCAGAAAAGGAUUUUUAUGUUAUUUUUGCACUUGCAGGUAAAAUAUUUGGCGAGUAGUAAUGAUCAAGGGGCAUAUCGUAUCCACCUUCUGGGAGCAAAUGUGAAGGACAUAGGAGCAUCAAACAUGCUAAAACUCAUGCCCUGAAAAAUCUUGUGGCUAUUAUAGAUGAUCUCAAAAGCAUGUCAAUCUUCUUAGGAAAAUUGUACGCAGUCUGAUGCAGAGGCUUUGAUGGAAUCUACUGUGAUCAUUGUUUGCAUCAUGUGGUUUUCUUUGGUGAGCAUCUUCCUCAAGUUUAAUCUUUGGUGCUUAAUAGGUUCCAAUUGAAUGGCCAUAGAAUUUUGCGAUCUACUUUGAGUUUCUUCGGUUUGUUGCUGCAAGGUUCGAAAGAUGCGUUUGCAAUUACAUAUUACAAAAGGACAACUUUGGUCCUCAUGAGUUUUAUGUGAGUUGUACUGUAAAGAAAAUACAAAUUGUUUCAUGUGAAUUUCCUGUCAAUCUGCAAGCAUGCUGUUACUUAAAAAUGGGUUUUGUUAGCUAGUAGUAUAGAUUAUCACUAGACAAGCAAGCCUAGACAGAAUGGACCUUUUCUUUUUGAGGUAAAACUAGUUUAUAUAAGAGUUCAGUUUGUUCCACCUUUAGAGAAACCGCCCAUGCUGCCAUUUGCCAUAUAGAUUAGGAAUGAAGCAUCAUUCCGAUUGGAGGAAGAAGGAAGCAGCAUAAUUUGGGCCUUAUGAAGCGGAAGGUGCUUUCGAAGUUCUGAGCAUUAUUGGGCUUCGUUGGCUGGGCUGAGUGUUUAACAAUCUGAGGAUUAACUCGAGUGAUAGUAGGCUUUGGUGUCUGGACAAUAAAGUCUCUUGGGAGGUGGGUUUUGUCUUUUUAUUUACUAUAUAUAUGUAGGCGAGUGAAAACUGGAUUUCAUUGACAACCUGCAAACUCGCGACAUGGUCCGUCAGAUCGAAAACGGAUGGUCUAGAUCAAAGGUGCGAUUUCUAGUCAACCAUUUACCGCACUUUGCACAUAACCACCUGUUGUCUUAAUAAUUAAUUAGCUAACGAAUUAGCCUCACUCCUAUCCCAUUAGUAUCCCCAACCCCCAAGCGACGGCGACCGCUGCGUUGCCCCGGUGCGACAGCGACUUGGCAGCUGCUGUGCUUCACCGGUGUGACGGCGAAUCGGCUGCCCCGGCGCUUCCCCCUGGUGAGGGCGAAUCCGCAGCUGCCGCGUGUGACGGCUCGACGGCAUCUGGAGGCCACGGUGUUGCCGGCAACGGCAAAUCGGCGGCCUCGACGCUACGCCCACGUAACGCUUCUUGCCAGCCACUGCCCUACCCAAGCGCGACGGUGUUUGCAGGCCAUGGCGCUGCCGCAAUGGUGAUUCGGCGUCUGGGCACGGCCCCCCCUCGAUGGCUUCAAAGGAGUCCCCAACUAAAGCUUGAUACUGUUUCUGAAGUUAGGCAAUCUGUGAUGCGUUUAAGUGACGCGUUUAUGGUUGUUGUACCAGUUCUGAAGCCAUGAAAAUUGCGUGUAUGCUCAAGCAUUGUAUCUGACAUUGAGUGUGUUUAAGAAUUUAGGACCAAGUUUGAAAUAGAAACCUGGAAUGCAUUGUGUGUUCUCAUCUGUAUUCUCUGAUCUUAACCUGAAAUAUUACUCUAUUGAAAUGGCAUUCUGGCAGCAGUUAGAUAUGAAAUCCAUGAGAUUUGAGAUUGUUUAAGGCAACAGAAACAAUGGAAUUUUGCCAUCAAUCAGAUAGAGUAUUUUCUAUCUGGUUGCAGAAAUUUGCCAAGUUGAGCAAUUUCAACAUUCCAAACAUAAGGAGCUACGAUGAACUCCAAACACAAGGACUUAUUGGUUGCAAACAUGUUUGUCCAGCUGGCAUUGUCAUAGUCUAUUAUGUUUCAGAAAUGUAUUCGUUUUGUCACAAAAGAAAACCUUGUCAUAAUCUAAUAUGUUUUGAUUCUAUGAAACUUCCGCGCAUACACAUUCAAAAGGGCGAUCCAAAAGAGCAAAGAUUUCUUGGAUAUGACAAGGUUUCUCUGUACAUGAGAAUUCUGUACGUUCACAGUCAAAAUUGAGAAUUCUGUACAUUCACAGUCAAAAUGAAAUUUAUGUACAUUCACAUUCAAAAUGAGAUUUCUGUACAUUCACAUUCAAAAGCCUGUUUCGGGUUCACCUUCUGUACAUAUCUCAUUUCGUAAACUUCUGUACAUCUCUCAUUUCGCAAAUUUCGGUACUAUCUCAUUCCACAAAUUUCUGUUUCACAUUAAACAGAGCAAAGCUUUCAUGUACAUUCACAUUGAUUCGGGUACAGCAAAAUCAAGCAUUUAUCUGUACAUCCAGCGUAACAACAGCCAUUGGUAUCAAAAAAAAUUUCUGUACAGCAAACAGCUUCGGGCUUCAGCUAAAGAGCAGACACCAGCUUCAGCAAACAGCAAGUGGCAAUUCGAUUCAGAAAACAGCAGGUGGCAAUUUGAUUCAGCAAACAGCAGGUGCCAAUUCGAUUCAGCAAACAGCAGGUGCCAAUUCGACGUGUAUCAAGGUACACGUCCAUAGCCCGAGAUGUGUAUCAAGUUGUAACAUGAGUUUUUUUUUUAGUCUGAAGAGUUGUGCCUUUGGCAAUAAUAGUCUUGUGAUCAUGUGUGCGUCUGUUUUUCUAUGUGAUCGAUCCUCGGCCCCAAGCUAACAGGCCUUCUAUAACCCAAUUUCGGUACCGAUGGGCCUGAGCACACUCAGCGAGGGAAAAAUGUCGGACCGUCACCGAAUCGUGCCAUCUGUGACGUAGUAUGGUGCAGUCUAUCCUUCUCGCGUUUGAGGCUGAUUCAGACAAGAGGUGAAGUAGCCACCCUGUUUUAAAAUGAAAUUCUACAAAGCAAAUUUACACAAGAUGCUAUGAAUAAAUAAAAGGGUUUAUGGUUUAAUUAGCAUCUCGAUAACGGUCGUGUUAUGUGAGGACCAAUGAGAGUGACUUGCUCUUAACAAAAUUGAACGCUAGAAUGUGGUAAACAUUUUGUUUGAGUGUACGUAGUCUGGAAUUUGGAGGUAACAAAUAUUUCAGUACCCACCGCAUAAUUUUCGAAAAAUGCUAGAGAUGCUAUGAAGAAAUGAAAUUGAGACAGAAAAUGCUAGACCGUUCUUCAUAGCCUCUCUAGCAUUUUGUUAAGUUCUAUCGAUCGCGUGCUAGUAAUUAUAUAUACAGACAAGAUUUAUAUUUCACUUAAUUAACAUGGUUUGUGCUUUGUGUAGAUAUUUCUUGGAUAAGAUAAUUUUGCGUCCAUGGCUGCUACGUCAACAACAUUUUCCUAAGUUCGAUGUGGUUCAGAGUGCCAGAUAUGCUGCAUCGAGCUUCUCACGGUUGCCACCGGCGAGUGCAGAGAAAUAUGACAUCUUUUUGCCCCAAGGGACUUGCGUAUGUUUUUUUUCUUUAAAGAUUGUCUAGUAAGGGUUGGUUGAUUUAAUAAUGGUCUUGGCUUUCUCGCAAAAAAUAAGAUGUUCUAGCAACCAUUUGGAGAUGGUCUCACCGGAGUUGUACGUUCAAGUGAUUUGGAUAGCAAUAGAAUAUGUAAUGCAUGAGUUGUACCUGAUUUUAUUUCCUCUGUUGCUGUACUCUUUCAUGACUUUUGAAUCUGUAAUUUGAAAACAUUAAUAAUAUGAUAGACGUGUGCGAUCAAUCGAUGCAGAUGACGGGUGUUACGACCUCUUUUCAGAGAGGAAAGUUGUUCUAAUUUUGUCAUGAGUCAAACUUAUAGAAAAUUGUUUUAUCUAAGUUUGAUCAAAUUUAUAGAAUAAAUUAUCAACAUGCAUGCAUCUACAACUCUAAUUUAGUUUUAUUAAAUCCGUCAUGAUAUAUAUCUUCGUACUAUAUAUAUGCUUAUUUUAUAGAAAUUAGUAUAUUUUUCUACAAAACUGUGGUCAGACUUUUAAAAAGUUGGCUAGCAACAAAACUAAAACUUCUUAUAAAAGGGAAUGAAGGGAGUACGUUCCAUGCCCUCGGAGAAUGCAUGUAAAGUCACUGGCAUAUCCCGCGCGUUAUUCAAACCCCGAGAACGGCUUGGAUGGAAAUGACUAAUUUCUUGCUUUAAAAUAGGGGGCCCUUUGUGUCCAUAUUGGAUUCUAAAAUCAAAGUCAGUUUUGGUACAUUCGUGUGAUCCAGUUUGAGCAACAGAACGCAUGGAAUCACACCCAAAAUUGCACACCUUUUUGUUCAAGUUCAAAUUUCAGGACAUGCAAUUCACUCAACUUUGAAACAACUAAACUAAUGAAACUGAUAUUAGAUGAUUCAUCUAAAUUCCUAAUGUGGAAUUCUUCUCCUCCUCUCUUGCAUAUGAUGCAAAGGACUUUCUGGACAUGCAUAAUCAACCAGGUGCAAGAUCAGAUUUCAUGGAAGAGUAAAAUGCACCCGCAGUCACUGUACUUGAUGCGUAUUCUCAAUUUAGUCACUGUAUUUUGGAAAUCAAAACGUACGGUCACUGAACUUGACGAAAUACCUCAUAUACGGUCACCGGUACGGUAUCCGUACGUCCCACGUGAGAGCUGGACGCGAUAAUUUUGCAAUUAGGUCCUUCUAGCGUGUGAGCCCACCAAUCUCCCUGCCUUGACAAAUUUCCCCACCCUGAGUCUGGUGGCCCACGUCUCCGCACUGGCCGCAACGAUCAAGAGGUUGUUUGAGUUGGCCGGCACAACGUCUCCAGUCUCCGUGCAUGGAUGUGGAGUGGGAGCGCGUCCUCCUUGCGCUGACAGAAGACAUCGCGGCAGCGCGGGUGGCAUGAGCUCGCACUCGCAACAACGCGCCUCUGACAGUGGAGCUGCAGACUCAAGCAACUCCGCUCGGGCGUACCUGACUCCCAAGAUUGAGGAGAUGGUGGAGAUGCCGCGUGACAGUAGAAAGCGCACCAAUGGAAGGCACAUCGAAACAGAUCAAGCAAGAUCUCACUGAAAUUUCUGAGCCAGCGGAUGGAAAACUCCAAGUUGAUUAAAUUGAUUAGGGCUGGCGAUGUGGCCGGAGGCUGUAACGGUGGACGCCGAACUCACCGCAAGCUGGCCGCCGGCGAGCCGAGGGCUCGGGCCGAAGUGACGAGGAGCUGUUUUUGCCGGCUCGGUGAGCUUGCGCGCAGCUCGUCAGCAGGCAAGGCGGGGAGAAGAAGGCGUCGUGGUGCGCCUGCAUCUCCGUCGGCGCCUGCUCGUCGACUGGGACCAUCGCCGUCGGACUGAGUCAGCGCGUACAGGAGCAGAAGCGGCGACAGCAGGGAGCAACAACUGCGUCGAGCAGCGGCGGCGAACAACAGCUGCUUUGAGUUGGCCCUGCACCUGAAUCUCCUUCCCUGCUUGACAGCAUACACUGCAGCAGCAGCAGCAGCAGCAAGCAACAACAACAGCUCUGUCCGGAUAUUGGAAGGAGCAGCAGCAGCUCAACGGCAGGCAAAAGAGCAAACGACACCGUGUCCUUGUCCUUGGAGGGGCUAGCGAAUGGGGAGGGUGGGGGAGCAGAAUCGGGAGAGGAAUGGCAUUAGGGAUUUGAAAAACAGGUGUGAGGAAUUUUGGUAUGGCAGGGGGAUUGGUGGGGCCCACGCGCCAAAAGGGCUGAAUUGCAAAAUCGUCGCGCCAGCUGUCACGUGAGGCGUACAAAUACCGUACCGGUGACUGUAUGUGAGAUAUUUCGUCAUGUUUAGUGACCGUAGCUUUUGAUUUCCAAAAUAUAGCGAUUAAAUUGAGAAUACGCAUCAAGUACAAUGACUGCAGGUGCAUACUAUGAUUGCAAGGAAAUUUGCAAGAUAUAGCAAGCAAAGCCUGAAACAGCUCAAGUAUCUCUGUUUUCUAGCAGCAUUAGAGCACAUGUUACAUGAUCAAAGUCAGUCCAAAGCUACAUAUAUAGACCCUAUGAAAACCGCAUUUGAGCCGCGCUUUUCCUUUGAAUCAACAUCUGAAAGGUUUCAUGCUAACCUAAUGAAACCACAUAAACUCUGCCCAAAUUAGAAAACAAGCAAUGAUCAGAGACAGUGCUUUGAAAGCUAGACAAUGCAACAGAGCAUUAACAAUUUCCGUAGAAAUUACGUUUGCCCAAUCAAAUUAAUAGUGGCACUGCUCGUAUAGGAAAAUCAGAUCUGACAAUUUUACUUAUUUACACAUGAAUUCUGUUAUAUCAUAUGUCGGUACUCCUAGCCUGUUGAUCUUUUUUUGCAGGAAAAGAGAGAACUACUAACCAGAAAUACUAUGAUAUGUUGCGACUCACCCCCUUUGCAUGGACAGGAAUUUGCAUAGAGAUCUCCAAUAUGCGGGAUUCAGACCUUACUAAAAUGUGUCAUGUAGAAUUCUGGACCUACUCUUUUGCAUAUGCAAAGGAUUUGCAGUGCACAAUAACCACAAAUUAGACCACACAAGAGAGCUCUAGUGAUAAUUUGAAUAUGUAGACAUGCAAGACCAGAUUUCAUGGAAUAUGCGCUGAAGAUAAUUUUCAAGAUAGCAAGCAAAGCAUUAAAUAUCUCAAGUAUCUCUGUUAUGUUUCCUACCGGCAUCAGAACACACAUGUAAUAGUCGUAAAGAGAGGAUCAACGUCUCAAAGUUGUCAUACUUGAAAUCAAAAGCUCUAGGGGCCUCCAAGGAAAAUCAGAUCGCUUCCAAGUUCAGUGACCUCCUGAUUUCCAAUCCAAGAGCAGGAUGCCUCACAAAAAGAUCCUUUAUAGAAAAAUCAGACCCGCUUUCGGAGUUCAGCCAAAACAUGUCGUCUCCUUCUUUAACUGCACUCUCGACGGGUACCAGUGAACAGUCUUGAUUGGCCCAUUUUCUAGCAAACAGAGGUUUCAGUUUUUUGUUUGCCUUGGCCUUUGAAGUGAAACUUCCCUUGCUGAACACAAUAACCAGCUUCGUCAGCAUCCACGCACUCUCCAGGAUGUACUGAAGGAACGAAAGCUCGUUGGGUGCCCCUCGGAAGCCACAGAAGAUCAUCACUUCCAUGUGUGACUGCACACAUUUGACGGCACCACCUUCUUGCCAGAAAUUGACGCUGAGCUUGCAAGUUGGCUCAACGGUUUUAUGAUCCGACUGUAAAAUGGUUAAAUCAGUUGAAACUUCAGUUCUAUAUAUAUAUGCAAGAGUGCAAAGCUGGAAAUUUAUGCGAACUUAAAGUGAGGCAGGUGUCACCUCCAGAUGCAGCCUCUUGACGUUUGGAAAGCAUCUCAGGAAGCUUGACAGCGUCUUAGCAUUGUUGUGGACUCCAAAGUACAGUCUUAAAGCGAGGAUGUUUACACUUGGGACCAUGGUGUUCCGACUCGCCCUUGUCCCAUCCUGCAGUGGCACCCAAUUUUGUGAGACAAUCACAUUCACUGACAUAUCACAUUACCGAAUCUACUACACACUAAAAGUAUAUGACUCGGUUAACCAGAAAAAUAUAGACUGCAAGAAAACCGAAAAAAAAAACUAACAUCUGAUCAUUCAUAUGGUGGGGCAGUUUUUACUUAGAAGUCGUGACCCAUGAACCUUCAUUACUGUACCUAAUUGUGGACCUUUUUUAAAUAAUGGAAUAACAGCUGAUGUUUUUUUUAAAUCACCUGACUGCAACCAUCGAUCAACAUAUAUUACAUCUUAAAAUUUGCAAGGUACAUAGAAACCAUAGGGACUAUGUACCCUUUCUUUUGUGUAACUGAUAGAAAACAUCGAUCAAUUGUGACCAUAUAUACCAUGGAUAUAUAUAUAUAUGCUAUAUAGAGAUCAACCACGAUGAGUGGUCAUUGAGGGCAAUAUAUUUUUCUCUAUAUCCCGUCAUCCAAUAUGAGCACGUAAAUAUACUUAUUAAUGUAAAACAAAAGUUGUCAAUGGUAGUUUUCUCUUUGGUAACAAAAGUAAUGGUGUAUUAAUAAUUCACACUAUGCUAAGAAGAUCGCCUACCACAAAUAAGAUUACUCGGCCGGAUUUAAGACAACCACAGCCCAAUCUAAGUUGGAAUUUGAUUGCUUCUGUGUUGCAGGAAACCUGGAAUUUUAAAAUACUAUAGUACACUACAUACUACUCCCUCCGUUCCAUAAUUCUUGUCGAAAUAUUACAUGUAUCUAGACGUUUUUUAGGAAUAGAUACAUCUAUUUUUAGACAAAUUUGAGACAAGAAUUAUGGAACAGAGGUAGUACCAUUUACUGGUACCAUACGUACUUGCAAAGCUAGAAAAUUAACCGGUCAGGAAUCCGGUGAUCCUUUAUUAUUAUUGUAAUAGUAAUUUAUGGCACUUUCUAUAUAAACAACACCAGACCAGUUUGUCGGACCUUCAUUAUUAAUAAACACAACCGGUCGUUUUUUACAUGUGUACAUGUACAUUAGCCAGGAACAAAUUUGGUGGACUCAAUUAUUAAAUGACCCACAAUUGACAAGCAUCUAGAAGGAACAUCAUGAUCUAGCUCACAGUCCAUACCUAUCUGGUGAGGACAAUAAAGCAUUAAUAGUGAUAAUAGCUCGAAUUAACAUGCCAAUUUGAUUUAGCCACUACUAACAGUCGGCACGUAUAAUAUUUUCACUCCUCUUAUUUUUUUUCAUAUGACAUUGCGUGAUAUGAAAUAUCUUAAUUUGUGAACUAUUUCAAAAUAGCUUCUGCAUAUUAAAAGCAGCACCGUAAUAUCAUUGAUAGGUGAUCUAGACCUUAACUCCACGUGCAGAUCCAAUAGCAACAUAUAUAAAAAUUGAUUUAGUUUUAGAAGAUCUUUAUCUUUACACUUAUAAAGAUCUGAGUUGGUGGUCCCGAGUUCACUCCCAACAAGACUACUACCUCUUAAUGGCUACGGACUCAUCUAAUUGCCACUCAUUUUAUACGUAUCACGAUUUUUUAACUAUUCUUGAUUGGUUUUCAUGACUUUCUAGACAAUUUUUUUUCAAAAAUAAUAUUUUGAGAUAAUUCUUAUUUAUCAGAAAUUUUAAAAAACAUGAGCCCAAAUUCUUAAUCUCGUAGCAAAGCAUGGACAUUUAGCUAGUAAAAUAUAAAAAGACACAUGACAUAUUAAAUGAAAAUAUGGUGUUAAUUAGCAAAUGUAGUAUAAAAUGUCAAAGGUGGAAACCAUAGGGAUUAUGUAGCCUUUCUUUUGCUGUGGUGUGACCGAGAGAAACCAUCGAUCAAUUGUGACCAUAUAUACCAUGGAUGUAUAUCUGCUAGAUAUAGAUGAACCACGUCAAGUGGUCAUUGAGGGCAAAUGUUCUUUUGGUAUAUCCCAUCCUUCAAUAUGAUUGCAUAAAUAUACUUAUUAAUGUCAAAGACAAAGUUGUCAUGUGGUAAUUUUUCUCUUUGCUAAUAAAAGUAAACGGUGUAUUUAUUCACAUUGUACUAUGAUAAGAAGAUCACCUACCACAAAUCAGAUUGCUCAGAUUUAAGACAACCACAUCGAUCGCCUAUCACAAAGAUUACUCAGAUUUAAGACAACCACACAUCGAUCGCCUACCACAAAUCUCAGAUUACUCAGAUUUAAGACAUGCAACCACAUCGAUCGCCUACCACAAAUCAGAUCACUCAGAUUUAAGACAACCACAUCCGAACCUAAGAUGGGUUCUGAUUGUUUCCGUGUCGUGGGAAACCUGGAUUUAAUUGGAAACUACUACAAUACAAUUUCUACAUACUACCAAUUACCAUUCGCUAGAAAAUUAACCGGUCAGGAAUCUGGUGAUACUUUAUUAUUAUUGGACUAGUAAUUUAUGGCACUUUCUAUAUAAACAACACCCAACCAAUUUUUGCCAGACCUUCAUUAUUAAUAAAGGCAACCGGUCCUUUUUUACAAGUGUGCAUGUACAUUAGCCAGGAACCAAUUUAGUGGACUCAACUAUAUAUUAGUGACGCGACCCACAAUUCACAAGCAUGCAUCUAUUGGAAACAUCAUCUAGCUCACAGUACAUAGUUUACAACGAACCUAUAUAUUUGCGAGGAUUUAACAUUACAGUGAUAAUAGAUUGAAUUAACAUCCCAAUUAAUUUUAUUUAGCUAAUACUAAUUAACAGUCGGCAAGUAUAAUAUAUAUUUUCACUACUCUUAUUUAAUUCCAAUGACAUUGCGUGAUAGGAAACAUCAUCUAGCUCACAGGACAUAGUUUACAACGAACCUAUCUGCGAGGACAAUUUAACAUUACAGUGAUAAUAGAUUGAAUUAACAUCCCAAUUUGAUUUAGCUACGUACUACUAAUUAACAGUCGGCAAGUAUAAUAUAUAUUUUCACUACUCUUAUUUAAUUCCAAUGACAUUGCGUGAUAGGAAACAUCAUCUAGCUCACAGGACAUAGUUUACAACGAACCUAUCUGCGAGGACAAUUUAACAUUACAGUGAUAAUAGAUUGAAUUAACAUCCCAAUUUGAUUUAGCUACGUACUACUAAUUAACAGUCGGCAAGUAUAAUAUAUAUUUUCACUACUCUUAUUUAAUUCCAAUGACAUUGCGUGAUAGGAAACAUCAUCUAGCUCACAGGACAUAGUUUACAACGAACCUAUCUGCGAGGACAAUUUAACAUUACAGUGAUAAUAGAUUGAAUUAACAUCCCAAUUUGAUUUAGCUACGUACUACUAAUUAACAGUCGGCAAGUAUAAUAUUUUCACUCCUCUUAAUUUUUUCCAAUGACAUUUUGCGUGAUAUGAAAUAUCUGUGUGAGAUAUUUCAAAAUAGCUUCAGCACAUUAAAAGCACCGUGAUAUCAUUGAUAGGUGAUCUAAACCUUAACUCCACGUGCAGAUCCAAUAGCGACAUAAAAGUUGAUUUAGUUCUAGCUAGAAGAUAAAAGGUAAAAAUACACAUGACAUAUUAAAUGAAAACACCGCGUUAAUUAGCAAAUAUAGUAUAAUACAUAAGAAAUACAUAUUAAGACCAGUAAACAAACUUUGUACGAAAUACAUAUGUGCUCACCUUGAUGACGGUGUUGCCGACCUCCAACGUGUGCAAUGCUGGCUCCAGAUAGCCAAGCACGGGGGCACAGCCAACCUUAAUUACCUUCCUCUGGAAGGCGUUAUCGACCAACGACGACCAUAUGAUGAGCCUCUCCAGCCUCGGAGCGUCUUCCAUGAGCACAUCCAGCUCGGUGCCCCCGACGAGUUGCAGGCACCGAAGGCUGCGGCUGACGAUCCUGAGGCGCGUCAGCCAGAUGUUCAUCUGGAUGCAAAGGGUCUUGAGCACCGGGGUCCUGGCCAGGACGAAGUCCAUGUCCCGGUUGUCCAUGUAGACGCACAAGAGGCCCAGCUCUUCCAGGUGCGGGAACUCUAUGGCACCCGGGAGCGCCGCCGUGUCGGGGAAGGUGAAGGCGCCGAGGUAGAGCCGGGUCAGCGUCGCGAUGCCGAAGAAGCCCGCGGGGAGCAUCAUGUUGAGCGGCCAUGGCCGGUUCACGAGGAACAGCUCCUGGACGCCGUUGAUGGCGAGCAGAUGCAGCCACCGCGCGAGCAGGCCGGGGAUUAGGUGCUUCAUGUAGCAGGACACGAUGUGGGCGCACCGGAUUGGGCCCUGGUGGGCCUCGAGGAUGCGCGUCACGGCGUCGGCGGCGGCCAUGGACUCGGCCGGGGAAACCUCGAGCAUGCUGCGGCAGGGGCGCCUGGCGGGGAGCAGGUCGGAGUGGGCGAGGACCAGCGGCGCGGCGCGCCAGACCCCGCGCCAGCGGCGGGAGAGCGCGGCGGUGCGCGCGCCGUCCUUGAUUGGGAGAAGAGAGACGACGCGCCUGAGGAAGGAGUCGGGCAGGGUUGAGAUGCGGUCGACGGCUUGGGGUUGUUGUGGUUGGGGCGGCGGAGGAAGAGCGGCGCCGGGGCUGGAGACGAAGGACGGAGGGCUGGGGAGGACGUGGUAGUAGAGGCAGGUCAAGGCGCGGAUGAGGUUGAGCUGGAGCCUCCGGAGGUCCACGCCGUGGUUCCCGUAGUAGGCCUGCGUCUCGGUGUCCAUGGGGAAGGUCUCGUGCGAGUGGGAGUCGGAGGAGGAGCCGCUGUUGUUGUUGUCCAUGGCGAUCGAUGGGGAGCCGGAAUGAAGGAGAGGAGGAAGACGGCUAGGGUUUCGGGUUCCUGCGGACAAGAAUGAUGAUUGCUUUGCCCUGGGUUUGGGGAUUCGGGCCCAUGUUUUCCGGGGGUUGCUGGAAGCCGGCCCAUUAUUUGUCAGAAACCUUUUUAAUUAUUCUCUUAUUCGCUUUCGAUCAUCUCCUCUGGCCGGCGUGCAGAACAACGUUCCCAUCGUUGUCUGAAGCACAAGCGCAUAAUGACGUGCAGUGCACUGGGGAUAUAUCGAUAUCACAUGCUUAAUUGCCUUGCACCUCCUUGCCUGG
RNAcentral lists this long non-coding RNA (19549 nucleotides) under Brachypodium distachyon (stiff brome). RNAcentral's name for it is "long non-coding RNA (BDIS_LNC005387)". The stretch from base 5818 to 5933 matches the Rfam family "MIR1120/MIR1122 microRNA precursor family". The record is from RNAcentral. Lineage: Eukaryota; Viridiplantae; Streptophyta; Magnoliopsida; Poales; Poaceae.